GAUGAACGCUGGCGGCGUGCCUAAUACAUGCAAGUCGAGCGAACGGACGAGAAGCUUGCUUCUCUGAUGUUAGCGGCGGACGGGUGAGUAACACGUGGAUAACCUACCUAUAAGACUGGGAUAACUUCGGGAAACCGGAGCUAAUACCGGAUAAUAUUUUGAACCGCAUGGUUCAAAAGUGAAAGACGGUCUUGCUGUCACUUAUAGAUGGAUCCGCGCUGCAUUAGCUAGUUGGUAAGGUAACGGCUUACCAAGGCAACGAUGCAUAGCCGACCUGAGAGGGUGGUCGGCCACACUGGAACUGGGACACGGUCCAGGCUCCUACGGGAGGCAGGCGUAGGGAAUCUUCCGCAAAGGGCGAAAACCUGACGGAGCAACGCCGCGUGAGUGAUGAAGGUCUUCGGAUCGUAAAACUCUGUUAUUAGGGAAGAACAUAUGUGUAAGUAACUGUGCACAUCUUGACGGUACCUAAUCAGAAAGCCACGGCUAACUACGUG
This 497-nucleotide ribosomal RNA is filed under the name uncultured bacterium. Its description in RNAcentral is "partial 16S ribosomal RNA". It matches the Rfam family "Bacterial small subunit ribosomal RNA", at positions 28 to 507 of the family's 1533-position model. The record is from RNAcentral.